Molecule: long non-coding RNA, 1070 nt
Organism: Nicotiana tabacum (common tobacco)
Lineage: Eukaryota; Viridiplantae; Streptophyta; Magnoliopsida; Solanales; Solanaceae
Source: RefSeq, a predicted model, not a curated record
UGUACGUUUCUUUGCUACUCCCACAUGUAUGCUUUUCUUUCUCUUUCAACAUAUUCCUUAGCAAAGCGCACACAAGAAAAGGCAUCAGAGAAACGAUCCAUAACAAGACCAAUUCGAAAUCAGAAGAACAGAACUUGAAAAAUAUGAUCACGUAGCAGCAAACAACCUUGUCAAUGUUUCUUCUUGGGGCUUAGUGUUCUGGAAGUGGAAGCUGGGCUUGAUAUCUCCUUAAAUGCCGACGGGCAGAAUUCACUUACCGUGCAUUUUGCACAGCGAGGUCUCAGAGGAGUACAUAUGGUCUGUCCAAAGCCUACCUGUAAAGGCCAUAGCCACAAAACUGAAGUGACAAAUAACCAGAGAGGAAGGAACAGAUGUAGAAAGUAAAUUAUGGGUUCAUCAUUCAUCCGAAUGCGGUAGAUUUGGCUUGGAUCCCGUAAUUCACUAAGUACAAAUAAUUCAUUCUGAAACUAGUAAAUCAAAUGAAUUGUAGUAGAAUUCGAAAGUCAAACUCAGAAAGUUCAAAUUGUGGAUUCGCCUAUGAGAGAGGAGAGAAAAUUCAUAUUCAGCUGACUUGUCCUUACUUUGACCAGUCGAAUAUUGGAGGCGAAGUUAGUAUUUGAAAAUUUUGUUGUAAAAGUUAGUCAAAGUGUUACCUUAAUAACAAAUGAAUAUUGGAGAAACAUUGAAGACCAGGAAAAUAGUUUCUCUUCUAGGGAGCAGAUAUGAUUAUUGGGUAACCCAAUACAUGAUGUAUUGAUGUGGGCCAGACAAUUUACGUUUUUUAUUUGUGGAAAUAGUUGAAGGAGAGUUUUGCGCGCCAGAAAAUCAACUUGUGUUAUCCACAGCAACGAUUAGAAAACCCAUUCGUUCGACCUGGAUGGGAAGAUCGGGCAUGAAACUGAAGUAAGGGAUGACUCAUACUACAUAGAAUAAAAGAUUUCAAUCUAUUGCCUAUUUCCACCUAUUGAGUGCAGGUCCAGAGACACCUCAAAAGCUGAAGCAUAAACAUUACUCUAGCUCUAGGUUGCAAAUCAAAAUUUUUGAGAAAUUUGAGGCUGAUCGAGCAUUGA